Molecule: transfer RNA, 74 nt
Filed under: Staphylococcus pseudintermedius
Lineage: Bacteria; Bacillati; Bacillota; Bacilli; Caryophanales; Staphylococcaceae
Description: tRNA-Asn
Rfam family: tRNA (bases 7-63)
About the family: Transfer RNA (tRNA) molecules are approximately 80 nucleotides in length. Their secondary structure includes four short double-helical elements and three loops (D, anti-codon, and T loops).
Source: RNAcentral
CCACAGUAGCUCAGUGGUAGAGCUAUCGGCUGUUAACCGAUCGGUCGUAGGUUCGAGUCUUAUAACACUCUGAC